GAUGAACGCUGGCGGUAUGCCUAANACAUGCAAGUCGUACGAGAGUUUUUAACUCUAGUGGCGGACGGGUGAGUAACACGUGAGAAUUUGCCUUUAGGAGGGGGAUAACAAUUGGAAACGAAUGCUAAUACCCCAUAUGCUUUUGAGUGAAACGGAUUUAUCCGCCUAGAGAGAAGCUCGCGGCUGAUUAGCUUGUUGGUAAGGUAAGAGCUUACCAAGGCGACGAUCAGUAUCUGGUUUGAGAGGACGAUCAGACACACUGGAACUGAGACACGGUCCAGACUCCUACGGGAGGCAGCAGUGGGGAAUUUUCCGCAAUGGGCGAAAGCCUGACGGAGCAAUACCGCGUGAGGGAAGAAUGCCUAUGGGUUGUAAACCUCUUUUUUCAGGGAGGAACAAAAUGACGUGUACCUGAAGAAUAAGCAUCGGCUAACUCCGUG
RNAcentral lists this ribosomal RNA (440 nucleotides) under uncultured bacterium. RNAcentral's name for it is "bacterial SSU rRNA". It matches the Rfam family "Bacterial small subunit ribosomal RNA", at positions 28 to 507 of the family's 1533-position model. The record is from RNAcentral.